CUCGUACAGUCGUGGUGAGCGCGAGAGUAGCCCAAGCGAACCGUCUAAGAGUUAGAGUAUUCCGAGCGAAAUCGUAUAUAUCGUAAGAAGGAAGGAAGGCGAACAUUCGAACCAUUCGAAUUACAUUUAGAAAAAUAAAAUAAAAUUAUUGAUCCAUACCACCAAAGUGUUUUGAAUUGAAGCUUUAUAUGUAGAGCUUGUGGAAAUGAAGAGGGCCCACAGGAUUGGAGAUUAACAAAUUGCUGCCAGUAGAGUAAAAUGUAGAUCAAUUUUGAUUACAAGGUAAGUUGUCAAAAUCUGAAUUGUCAGGUACCUUCAUUCAUACAGAAUAGAUCCAUACCACUAGUGUUUUUAAUUUAAACUUUUUAUGUAGAGCUUAUAGAAAUGGAGUCAUUUUCUCAUUGCAUCAUUAACAUUAAAAUUUCUUGCAGCAAGGAAAAAAAUUGCAGGUAUAUAUAAUUAUUUAUAAAUUGAACGAAUAAGUGUUUAUAAUUAAUAAAUUAUAUAUAUUCGCUUUUGUUAUCCCCUCUCCCUUUAUUUUACUCUAUUCAAUUAAAGAAACAAAUAAUAAUUUAGACUUCUUAUGUAGAGUUUACAGAAAUAUCAAUUUUAUUUUUAUAAAUUUAAAAUAGAUUCUAUAUAAUAAAUGAUUUGUAAAAAGAAGUGAGAUCCGAUAAAAAGACCUCAAAAAAGUAAAAAAAUUACGCCAAGUACAUGAAAAAAUGGAGGACUCAAGGAGUUAUCAUUGAAAAAUAGAAGAUCCCCAUAAAAAACUACAAGAAAGUAGAAAAAUAUGUGAAAUCGAAAUGAGCUGCCAGACGAUUCGCCUAGACUUCCGUGGCCUGGAAGUCAAAUGCUUGGCGUGACCAGGCAAGGCAUUCUUAGAUCAUUAUAACCCAUACUUUCUCUUUCACAGACUUUCAGAUAAUUUGUCAAUUUAAAACUCUGACAAUAUCAUAAGUACACUUUCAUUGUUUUGCGUUUUAAAAUAAUUCUUAUUCAUCGACACCUUGAUCUUGCCUGGCCACGCCAAGCAUUUGACUUCCAGGCCGCGGAAAUCUAGGCAAACCAUCCUGGGAGCUUAUUUCGAUUUCACAUCUUUUUCUAUUUUCAUGUAGUUUUUUAUGGGGAUCUUCUAUUUUUCAAUGAUAACUUCUCGAGUCCUCCACUUCUUCAUGUACUUGGCGUAAUUUUUUUACAUUUUUGAAGUCUUUAAUCAAUUUCACAGCCGCUUAAUGACGACACACCCGCAGGGGAACAGCGAUGAGCGACGUUACGACCGGGUCGAAAUCACUUUCGCACGACCCACAGGAAUAAUCGGUGUUCACCUGUACACGGGAACGAAGGUACCUUCAACGAACGGGCUGUGUUACGAAAGGUGAAAUGUUGUAAAGGGAACCUUGGCCCAGGUCGUGUAAAACCUGUCGCCCGGCAAAUAUGCAUCUACUCGACCCUGCUUGGGUCCUUUCGUCCCUUCCUCCACGGGGAAGAGCAACCUGCACUUCCCACGGAAGCGAAGAGCCGAGGAAGAAGCAGCCUGUUAAAAUUGACAUGUGCGCGAUUCUUAAUCUCCCGUGCGGAACCCCAUCCGAGUUCCAGGACCGUUCAUCUCGUUGCAUUCUCUCGCUUGACUUUUCUUUGUUCGAGGAGUGUCUUACUAGCGGACAGAUGUUCCUCGAGCAUGUGAAAUUUUCUGGAAAGAGCUUUUCACGAUUAGUUCUCGCAUUGUUACGUCACUAAAAUUCGACUACGUUGACAAUUUAUCGAUAUGUUCACUGACAGCUCCGGACCCAAAUGGCGUACUAUUAUACUUUUCUUUGCUCCUUUAUUUAGUAUUACCUUAAAUCUUUAGUACGCACCUAUUGAUUUGGAAGUAAAACAAGACAAUUCAUAUCACUGACGGCUCUGGACCUAUAUGGCAUACUAUUAUACUUCUCUUUGCUCCUUUAUUUAGUAUUAUCUUAAAUCUUUGGUACGCACCUAUUGAUUUGGAAGUAAAACAAGAAAACAAAAUACAAUUAAUUGUCAAUUUGUACUAAAGACAUAUUAAAGGUACUUUAGUAUUUACAUUAUUAUGGGUGAGCAAAAUUUCGAUAAAUUCCAUUAUAGAUAUUUGAUGCUUUAUGAGUUUCGACAUCAUAACCUUGUCACAAAUGACAUUAGUAAUGUCACAUUACAUAAUGUUGACUAUCCUGGAUUCUUAAAUGGCAAAAUACGUCAGCAUUGAAUUCAAUAAUUUAAGAACGGUGAAUUUAAUAUUCUCGAUGGCAUGAAAUCUGGAAGACUCAUCGAGAUGGAUAAAGAUCUGCUUUUAGUUGAAAUUGAACCGUUUAAAAAUUAAUAAUUAUUCAGAAUGUAAUUGUAAAUCCUACUCAAAUCCUAAAUGCAGAAUUUAGGCACAUUAUUGUGCUCAGCUUAAAAAACUAGUCAUGAUUUAGAUUGAAAACCGUCGCAGAUUGAUUAAUCGAAAAGAUGUUAUUUUGCAGCAUGAUAAUGCAAGAUUUCAUAUUAUAAGGACCACUCAAGAAAUAAUAAAAAGGUUGAAUUAAGAAGUAUGUACAUAUUUCCUCAAACAUUGCAUUCACUUGAUACUACUUCGGUGGAUUACUAUCUUUUAAGAUCUAUCGAUCAUUUUCUUCGAAGAAAAUUUAAGGACACUUUAAAAAAUUUUUAAUUAAAAACAUUGUUUAAAUAUCACUAAAGACUACAACAUACUCAAAUUUUGUCAAAGAGUGUCUUAUUUCGCAAGGAAUGGUGUACUUAUUUAUAUAAAGAGAUUAUUCUGAAUGCUAUGGUACAGAAAGUAACAGCUGUUGCACACGUAAUGACUUUUUUAUACAGUCAGUUAUGUAAGUAAAGAAAUUAAAGAAUUAAAUAGAAUGAAGUAAUCAUAAAGUCGUACAAAAAUCGUAGGAAUAAAUUUAUGUAUUCAUAUGUUAAUGUCAAUCAACGCGAUUUAGUUAAAAUUAGAUAUGGAGUCUCUAGUUAAAGUUAGAGACUCUAUAGAGACUAGUUAAAAUGUACCUGUAGCGCAACGUAUCGAAUGCGAAUCACACUAACCAAUUGCUUAGCGACUAACAAAAGUUUCUUGCAAGUAUAAGUAAAAUCGGUCUAUUAGUGUAGAAGUUAUAUUUUGGCGGCACCUAUCGUAAUGAAACAUAUCUAAAACAAACCUUACUCGUCAGUAACACAUGGUUUGAAGAUCUCACGAUCAGUAGUUCGUUCACGAUCAUGCGUUUUACUCGCGCACAAUGGAUUUUGUAUACAGAAAAAAGAAAAGAUUAUACUGAUAAUACUGAAUAUUUUAGGAGAUAUUUCAUUUUAUUUUUAAUAUUUCAACACAACUUAAUUGCUAAUUAGUUCACAGAAGGAAAUUUAAAGAUUUGACAAAUUUCUAAUAUCGUAGCUGCCAUAUAAUAUAUUGAUAUUUUAUUAUUAUUAUAUUUGAUAUUUGACAUUGAUAUUUCCUGUAAAAAAAAAAUGAACAGAUAAUUCCAUCGACACAAUUACAAAGAGCAUCAUAUAAAAUAAACAGAUAAUUCCAUCGACACAAUUACAAAGAGCAUCAUAUAAAAUUUUCUUCUACGAUUUCAUUUAUCUUCACUCGAAAAACAGAUAUAACCUGAUCCUGUUAUUAAGUAUACUCUGUAUAAUAAGUGCGUGAAAUAAUAGGCUGCCUUAAAAAUGCGCGAGUAACGAGAUGAAAUAGUUUGGUACGGAUAACACAGUGUGCGAGGGUAUAAGUAGUAGCCAGUCGAAUAAAUAAGACGACGCGCUUCCGUCUACCUACGGCGGCAACUUGCUGGGUCGUUUCAGAGUUCCAUAUCGCCUAUCGUAAUGGGCUUUCUCACGAAUCUCGGUCCAUUAAAAGAAUUCGUUUACGACUUGUUGCGCGCCGAUAUGGCCGAGCUAACACAGCUAACCGGUACGCGGGACACCGACCGCCGGAGUACUAUCAAUUAGAAUGAAAUUGCGCGGGUCCUCGUCGCGAACGCCAUGGCGUAGGUGGGGUGAGACGAGGCGAGCUUGUCCUUAGAGAUGCGAGAAUGGAAAGGAAUCGAGGAAUCUAUUAUUCACCUCAGCGGUAAUCAUCCACGAUUGUCUUCGUGUCAAACGCUAUCAAGUGGAAGCCAGUACGAGUACUCAGAUUUUAUUAGGAGGACUCCAAAUACAAGCAGCUCGCUGUGUCUCCUCUUCGAUGUCUUUAACGAUUUUCGCCACAAUGACGCUAUUAUUUCACUUGAAAUGCGCCUGACGACAGUUGAAAGUUAUAAGCGUUGUCUCGUCUGAAUACGUCUUAAUCCUUUUGGUAUUUAUUCAUUUUUUCCUCUUUUUCUUUUAUUUUCCAGCGAAGAAUGUGAGGAAUGUCGUCGAUGAACGAAGAUUUUCUAAGACCGCUGCCGAGACAAUCGGGAUUUUUUUACUCUACCAAAAAGAAAGUAUGGACGUAAACAAAAUCGGCGUUAUUUUUUCAAUGGCUGGAAGAAAAUGUUUUUAUCUCAAUUACGGACUCGGCUAAUCGAAAAAUGAGAUUUUCAUUUAAAUACGCGAGAAAAUUCUUUUACCCUUUCAAGAAUAUUUUUCAUUAACCACAAAAUUUUGUAGAAAGAAAAUGAAUUACACAGUUUUGCUAAAGAAUUACAAAAUUAGCUACAAAAAAGAUUCAUGAGUAAAGUUUGUAUGGCUAAUACUUCUCGAAUUAUAUAGUUGGAUACACAAUUUUUAAUUAAAACUGGUGGAAAAUCAUAUAGAGAACCAGUCAUUCGGAAAUAAUUCGUAAAAUAUUGGUUUCCUGAAAAUUCUACAAGGGAACUUUUUCCUAGAAAAUUAAAUUGUCUAUAAAAAACAUUCUAUAUAAAGUCAUAAAAUCGAUCUUUUUGGAGAUUUUUGGUGAUUGAUGUUUUUUAACAUAUUAAAAAUGUUAGAAAAUUAAUUUUUCGCAGGUAACUUACGAAAUAUCAAUUUGGAAUUCAAAAUAACUACUCAAUAUAUGUAAGAUAAUUUAUGCAAAUACAUUACGAAUCUUUCUUCUUUAUCUUCUAAAAUGCAUUGUUGAUAUCCGAGUCAUUUUAAAAAGAACUUCGAGAUACAUUAAAGAAUAGAAAUAAAAAUAACUGGAACAAAAUAUAUUGAACAAAUACAACACCCAGAAAAUACUUACAAUAAGCAAUAAAUCAAUACAAAUUUAAUUAGAAUCACGAGUAAAAAGUGUAUGGUUAAAAAAGUACGUGCACUAUGUACAUGUGUGUUACAACAAAUAUAUCCAUACAUGUUAUUUAAAAAUUGACAGUUAUUGCUGGUUUCAUCUGCUCUGAUCACUAGCGAAUUGGUUAAUGGAUAGGAAGUAUUAUUUUCGUUUCGGAAUGCCAAUUCGUUCUUAUUUGGAAUUACAAGAUCACACUGUAUUUGCACUUCGCGUGUCGCGUAAUAUUUUAUGCCUGUUCUAUACAAAACAUUAUUUUGUCGCGACGACAUCUGCAGCUUAAAAGUCACAUUAUCGUGGCGAAGCCAAUUAAGCGAAACUUCGGUGCAAAUACCAAGGAAAUCUGAUCAGCCACCUUAGCCGACACCUGUUUUGAUCUCCCUGCAAACAAGACAGGUGCCACCAGAAACUAAAAACUACACAUUAACUUGUCCAACGGAGAAAAGUAUCCUUUAGUAAAAAUUGAUGCAUACAUAAAGAAAGAGAAUCAGAAAAUACACAGGGUGGUCCAUCAAAUAAUUCCACCUCGGUUUACGACAAUAUGUAUAGCGAAAAAUAAUUCAUAUAGAGCUGAAUGGUUUCGAGUGGGGCACAUGGUAUUAUAAUAGAGUAGAGAUCGCAUGAAGGCCAUUAAGAAUUUUUAAAAUGGGAUGAUAUACUUUUUAAUACGCCAAUCGAUGCAACUUGAUAGUUUCUACAAAAAUGUAUUAAGUUAUCUAUGUCCAUAAAUAAUUAGCUUAAAAGAUAUUUCAAUUUUAGUAUCGUUAUGAAAUCAUAAUUAUCGCGAUGUCUGAGCAUUCAUGUACGGAAGAAAUGAAUCAAACGGCGUUAUAUCGAGAUUCUACUGCACCAGCUAGAUUCUAAUAAGCGAAAUGUAUUUAUAUUUAUUACAUAUGAGAAAUAUUUUACGCGAAUAUAACUCUUAUGUAACUAAUACUAAAUGAUUUCUAGUAGACAAAUCUGUCGUCAUUGUUAAAUAUCUUUGUGGAUAGGGUAAAUGAACGACUUCUCAUAUUGGCUUCUAUAGAGCGAGUGUUUAUUACGUGCUUGCACAUACAGAAAAAGAAGAAAAGUGUCUCCUUCGCACGCUUAACGUAUGUGCCUAUAGUGACGUUUUUGCUUAUAUUUAAAUUUACUUAUAUUCUAACAGUCACAUUUUAAGAUAUUUAUAAAUAAAACGCAGUUAAUCUAAUAAGUUGAAGGAUAAAUCCUGAGUAAUUUAUCUGUUGCGCCGAAUUAGUAAAGUUAGAGCGCGAGAGGAGCACAAAAAGAAGGUUACCGACCCUCGCUCGAUAUUCAUCCUGAAGGCUUCCGCCAAGCGGCCACUUUUUAUCCUGUUUCCGGCUCGGGAUCCCUCAGUGGUUCGGCGUUUGUCCACCGGAAGCAUUUAGGCCUCGUCACGCUUCUUUUAAUUACGCGACUUGGCCACCGCAAUCCUUCUUUCUCGUCCGUACCACGCAUGCACCCACACACGGGCGUACGCUCGUGCAAGGUAAGCGUAUCCUUAGCAGGAGCUCGACACCUGGCACUGCCGAGGGGAAUUAAUUUUUUGGAUUAGCUUAUCGCCUCUAGGCGACCUGCUACUUAUUUUGCUCGUGAACGAGGUUAAGACCGGCUAAGCAGCUUUGCGUUAAUGAGGUUUCGGGAGGAGAUGCAACGUUUGCUCUUCCUUUAAAUAUUGUUUCAUGCCUAGGGGAAACUUCGAGUGAUAGACCCGUAUACUAGUGCCUUCCGUCGCUUUUAUAAUGAAUAGGUCUAAAGAAGAAGUCGAUAACCCUAUCGUUAAAAGUGAAGUUCGUGUCUUUGCAAUGAAUAUUGCCAUUUGAUAAUCCUUGUUAUCGUACUUUUAUGAAUAGUUUGAACCGUUCGAUGGAAUUAGUUUUUGGUUGCUUUUCCUUAAUAGUUUAAGUUUUCGAUUAAUAGUUUUCCUUUUCACGUACUGUUCAUUGUAUUUAAUGUACCAAUCCAUCGCAGAACAUUACAAUAAAUUUGACUUUAAUGAAAUAUUUUAAGAAACACAUUGUACUAUUGAACAAUGCUUUGGAGUCUGUAAGACUUUCAUACUUCAUUAUAUUUCAUUAUAUUUCAUACUUUAUUUGUUUCAUUUAUAUUUAUGUAUAUAAUUAUAUAAUUUUUUUUAUUAAAAUUGAAAUUUUUAAGAACCGAUCAAUAAUUUUUAGAUUAUUAGUUAGAAUUAUCUUCAUAAUUAUUUGUAUAGAAUAAAUUCAUGUAAAGAUAUUUAUUGCUUAUUCAUCGGUUGUUCGUAAUAAUAUUCUUUUCGUCAUGUUAGAAUUAAUUUCAUAUAGAACAUUUUAUUCUAAAUAAUCUUAAUAUUAAUGUUUAUGUUAGAAUGUUUAUUGCAAUCACAAAAGUAUAUUUCGAUGAGAACAUGGUUAAAAAUAAAUCCUAUCUAUCAAAACAACUAUCACAGAAUGUCACAAAAUUUUCCUACCGUAUACCAAUCUUUUUAAUAUUACUUUAGUAACAAAUUUUACAUCGUUUCUUUUUUUAAAUUAAAGUUCUCAUUGCAGAUCAUUUCCUAAAUUUGUUAGUAUCCUUUUUUGUUUAAGACUAUUAUUAUUAUAUGCAAUCAUACAUUUACAAUAGCUGCAUUCAUCUGCAAAUCUAUAACAGCCAAAUGAGUGUGUAUUUUAUUUUUCUUUAUAAACACACUAUAUGUAUAAAUUUAAUUGGACAAAUGGGAGCUAUAAUUGACCGAGAAUAUAAUUGUUGGAACAACGAUGUACAUCUAAAUGUCUUACCGAAUUUCGUGGUUAAUGAAGUAACUUUCACUUUGCAAAAUGCGUAACAAAAACGUCGCGUGUAAAUUUUUAUUUUAAAUUAUUGUUAUCAGUGUCGGAAUCUUCUCUAUUUAAAUUUGAAUGUUGUAGUCCUUAGUAAUAUUUGAACGUAUCUCAAAGUAUUUUGAAAAAUUCUGAAAAAUUUUGAAAAUGAUCGGUCUUACAGCUGUUCAAAGUUUUGUGCUACCUUUUUGUAAAAAAAAUAUGGCUAUUGAACUAGGCAACGGAUGAAAAUGACCUUUUACGUGCUUAUAGUGAAGACGUCGAAGUAUCAAAUAAAAAUUAUUUCAGAACAAAAAAGAGUUUUUUGAACCAUUUUUUUUUUUUCGUAACACAGAUGGUUCAAUGGAUAUUUCUGAUUCUCUAUUUACAAAUAUUGAGAUUUCGAACUGGAACCUUAUUUUUAUCAAAAUAAAAUGUAGCCUACGUCGUUCCUCAGGAUGCAAUCUAUCUCCUUCCCAAAUUUUAUCGAAAUCUGAUCAGCGGUUUAGGCGUGAAAAGGUAACAAACAGGCAGACAGAGUUACUUUCGCAUUUAUAAUAUUUGUAUGGAUUGAUUUUCAAACGGCAAGGCGAUUGGCCGAAAUAAUUGUCUUCGGUGUAGAAAAUAAAUUUUUUCUUUCCGUUGUUUUCCAUUGUGCCCUGACUUUUGAUUGUGGUAGCUUAUUCUGGAAUGCCUUUGAAACUAAAAAAUUAAUUUCUUCAAAUUCAGUAAAAAAUGUAUUUUAAUCAUUCAAAUUAGACGAAAGCAAAAAAUACAUGCACGUGUUUUAAACAUUCACUUUAAUUUAUGUUGGGAAGGAAAGUAUUCUAAGUCUAAUGUUAGCCUGGGGCUCUCUGAUUUAGUAUAUGUUAUACACAACUCUACUAACUAGUAGAACUAUCUACAGUUACAACAGUUAGGACGAAUACCUAAAUUAGACGAAUUUAUACAAAAGGUGAAAAACGUAUUGAGGUCUAAAUUCAUUCCAAACACCUUAAGACAUGACUGGAUAUUUUAGCUGAGGAGAUCAGUAAAGUAACUAUAAUUGCGCAAUAUAUCCUUGGACACCCUAAUACUUACUCGUGUUGCUCUGUUAGCAGAGUUGACCGAUGGCCUGGUUUCUUACACUCCCGUCGCGGUCGAACGAUGCGUUCCAGGUAUAAUUAAAGGAGAGUUUAAAGGCUUAUAUAGUUCGAGUGUUUAUUCGGUCGAUAAACCGGUUGACAAACAGGCGUCGAAAAAAAAUGUUAAUUGUAAUGUCCACGGUAAUGUGAGUUAAACGCAUAUACUGGCUUGGGCCCGAGAGAUGACGAAAACGACACGGAGAGUCGCAGCUCGGCUACCCUGCAGAGGUACUGCUCGUUCACUCGAGUGGAUUCGUGACUCCCCGAAGGUUCUAAACGCCUCGCGAGAGAAAUAAAUUGCAACCAAUCGCAUGCUGAGAUGCCAUGCCCUUGCGAUAUACGUAUACGACGUCCUUUUUACAAAGUAUGAACUUCUGUCAGACGUUAACAAGUCCGUCUUUGUGGCUCUCGUACUCGGAUAAUGUUGCCGAAGGACUUCCAUCAUAUGACGAGGAUGAACAUAAUAAAACGUUGAUAGUCUAACAUUACAAUUACCUCGUCUUUUUCUGUGGAUGUUAAUACGAAGUUGAUGUUGGAGAUUGUAGAGUACGAGGAAAAUAUGAACGGUGGGAGGCUUGUUGAUUUGUAAUUUCAUCGUUUUGAUGCAGGUGUACACACUGUCGAGUAGCGCUUGACAGUCUUAACAAUUUUCUUAAUCGCUCUAACCGAUGAUAAUCAUUUAUAUAAAUGAAAAACAGAUUAUAGACGCUAAAAAACAAUCCUGGAUUUCACUUUUCGUUAAUUAUUUCUAUUAUCUCGAGCGUUCAAUAUACAACAAAAUCAAUAUCACUCGAUUUCUUAAAGCUUUAGAUACAUAAAGAAGAAAAACUUUUGGAAAGAUGUUUAACCCUUUGUACUCGAGGCCUUUUUUCUGGUAUCUACCAGCAUCUCGAGAUGUUUCUUAGCAUUCUAUUGCCAUGAAUUCGAAGCUAUCUAGAUUUGAGAAUAAGUUCACCUUUACCUCACCGACAAUCAUUUUAUUGACACUUCGAGCUUCAAAGAAAUUAAAACUAAAGAAACAUUAGGUAUUGUAGAUUUGCUGCGUGAAACCUAAUGGUGACUGAGAGUCACCUCUCGAGUGCAAAGGGUUAAUAUUAAAAAAGUUAUAAAAUGACAAGUACAGAAAUGAAUGUUCCAACUUAUACUAGAAGAAGAAGAAGUAUUUCUUGAUGCGUGAUAGACUUGGCCCACUACUGACCGAAACGAUCUUCCACAAAUCACGUGAUACAGGAAAAAAAGUCCAUCUUCAAGACGAUAAUAUAAUUCCUUGAAAAGCGUACGACUCUAGGGCCCACGGCUGGUUUUCCUGAAAAGCGAGUGAAAACACGCGAAAAACCGAAAUCGUAGGAUCGUCUGGAUCAUGUCGGUCGAAUGAAACCAAGCGCGAAUAAGGGGAGAAGCUUCUAAACGCGGUGGUUCAGGUUCGUCUUUCUUCUACCAGACUCCGGGUCGAUCCUUUGCGGUACUAUCCGUUUCAGCAUCCCAUUGUCUUCCCGUUCCUCCUUGUCUAUUUACACGUGGACCCUUUGAAGAAGCCGCUGUCAGUUUUUCAUUGCUACCGCUGUUAAACUAAGCGAAAGGCAUUCUUACCGCAGUGUGCAACUAGGUUGGGUUCCCGUGGUAGGUACACGCUGGUACACUAGACAUACCCAAGACCCUGUUUUAGGUCGGGUAUACGAGGUCAGCACGCGCUUUGUACUAUGCGGGUUAAGUUACUCGAGCACCAAAUCGAGCCUUUGUACCUUGUUAAGUUAAAACCUCGGCCAGGAUUACUUGUCUUCCGAACAUGGUGCUCGAAGGGGCCCCCGAGCGAUCUUAUAGGAAAUGCACGAUAACUAAACACCGAGACGUUGACUAAUCUUCGCGUUCAGCCGUGUUUCGUUUCUCCUGGUGUUCGGUACGACGGUUUUCGCGCCAAACCCUUGUGAGCGUAUCGAUGAAAUACCGCCGACAAUUUGUAGACGAUCAUUCCACGGCGCGCCGUGGUCGGAUCUAUAUGGAAACGCGGAAAAAACCUCGUAACUUCUACGUUUUUUAAUAUUUUUGAAUAAUUCUUUUUUUAUAUUAAUUCUUAAGUGGAACUUUAUAUGAUAACAAUAUUAGGAAGAACGGCAUAUGGUUAAUGUGCACAUAAAGUAUUGAAUUGUCCAUUUAUGACAAAGUAGAAGCACAUUGGAAUCUUAAUCUGAGUUUAUUGUUGUAAUUAUCACAGUUGUUACAAAAAUAAAACAUUUAACAAUUAUUUGUUGAAAUAAAAAUAAAUAUAAAAUAAAAUUUAUUGAACUUGACAACUACUGCACAAUGUGGAUAAAAAUGUACGUUGACCUAGGAGUAAGAAUCAGCAUAAUUACCAAAAAACAGAUCGUUAAAAAACACCUCCCGAAAUUUAUGUCAAUAUAUACAACAGAAGCAUAAACAUUAGAUACUAGAUGGUUUGAAACGUAUUCACGCGCGUAACAUUCAAAACUUGAUCUCAAAUCUCUAAAUUUUAAAUAUAUAUUCUAGAUAAAAUCUCUAAAUAUAAGAAAACUUCACGAAACUGACUAAUAAUGAGUAUAUAAAAUUCAUAUGAAUCUUAUUCCACCAAAGCAUACCAGUCAACGAACAAACAAACACCACUGCUAAAGCAGUCACUAAACCCACACCUUCACCAAUGUAUUAAGCCUCCAUUUGUUUCACUAUGAUAACAAAGAAAUUGAUUUCUUCACCCAUAAAAUGUGUUCUCAUAUAGUAAUGCUAUCGUAUUGUAGUAAUUCAUCUAACAUAGAAUUUUGUUUCAUAGGUAAAUUGUUAAGAUAUGCGUAAUUUUUGUAUGCAUUUUGUAUGCCUUUCAUGAGCAUGCGUGCGCAUUUCCAGAUGCGUAAAUGAGAGUGUUGCAUUAAACAAAAGAGAGCGCAGAGAACGGAGCAGAAGCG
Molecule: long non-coding RNA, 12025 nt
Organism: Hylaeus volcanicus
Lineage: Eukaryota; Metazoa; Arthropoda; Insecta; Hymenoptera; Colletidae
Exons: 4
Source: RefSeq, a predicted model, not a curated record